GAUGAAGAACGUAGCGAAAUGCGAUAAGUAAUGUGAAUUGCAGAAUUCAGUGAAUCAUCGAAUCUUUGAACGCAUCUUGCGCUCCUUGGUAUUCCGAGGAGCAUGCCUGUUUGAGUGUCAUUUUAACUUCUCAACCAUAUCGAAUUGUUUUUCGAGGUGGCUUGGACAUGGGGGUUUUUGCAGGCUUUAAUAAUGAAGUCGGCUCCUCUGAAAUGCAUUAGUGGUAUCUGAUGCAGAACUGCUACUAUUAGGUGUGAUAAUUAUCUAUGCCUCUUGGUAUACUGCAUGAACAGAUUGCGCUGCUUCCAACUUGUACACCCUUUGGUGUUUGACAAAUUUGACCUCAAAUCAGGUAGGACUACCCGCUGAACUUAAGCAUAUCAAUAAGCGGAGGA
This 395-nucleotide unclassified non-coding RNA is filed under the name soil metagenome. RNAcentral describes it as "partial contains 5.8S ribosomal RNA, internal transcribed spacer 2, and large subunit ribosomal RNA". The stretch from base 1 to 120 matches the Rfam family "5.8S ribosomal RNA", at positions 35 to 154 of the family's 154-position model. The record is from RNAcentral.